Molecule: unclassified non-coding RNA, 358 nt
Filed under: uncultured fungus
Lineage: Eukaryota; Fungi
Description: sequence contains ITS1
Rfam family: 5.8S ribosomal RNA (bases 1-105)
Source: RNAcentral
GAACUGCGAUACGUAAUGUGAAUUGCAGAAUUCAGUGAAUCAUCGAAUCUUUGAACGCAAGUUGCGGUCCUGGGUCCUCCCGGGACCAUACCUGUUUGAGUAUCAGCAAUGCAUCCUCAUACAAUGUAUUUUGUAUGGACUUGAGGGUCACAAGCAAUCACUUGUUUGGGUCCCUUUAAAUAUCGGAAGGAUGAAGGCAAAGCAUAUUGCAUUCAAAUGGUCUCAUGUGGCAAUUGUCUUAUGACAUUAACAACAUGGAAUCAUUGCAAUAUCUGUUUUUCUCUCAACCUUUGCAGGACAACAGUCGUUGAACUGAAACUAUGAUCUCAAAUCAGGUAAGACUACCCGCCGAAUUUAA